UGCCUGUGAAUGGUAAAGUUGUUGCAAAAAUGGUAAAUGUGUUGCUUUUUUUACCGAUUUGGUAAAGUUGUUGCCCAAAGCAACAACUUUCCAUAUGAAAAUUGGUAAAUGUGUUGUCAUCACCAUUGACAAUACACACGGGCCUGCUCCUGCGUGUAUUAUCGCAUAGACUUUAAAAGAGACUACCAAGGCGCUUGAUGGAUGCGCAUGCUGCAUGCAUGGAGUCCUACAUAUAUACAUGUAUGUACAGUUUGACAGAAUGAUGGUGUUAUGGCAGAUGAAUGAGAUGAGAAUUACGAAUGGAGGUGCUCCCAGUGAUUCCAGAGCUGUUCUUCCAAGAGAGUGUCAACUAGCACUGAGCCUGGAUGUAAGGAUGUCACUUCUGGAUCAAGAAGCGAUUUGAUUGUGGAGCCUGGAUGUAAGGAUGUUCCUUCUGGAUCAAGAAGCGAUUUGAUUGUGGAGCCUGGAUGUAAGGAUGUUCCUUCUGGAUCAAGAAGCGAUUUGAUUGUGGAGCCUGGAUGUAAGGAUGUUCCUUCUGGAUCAAGAAGCGAUUUGAUUGUGCUUACUGUUGUACAAAGUUGGCAACCGAGUAUUGGGGAAGCAGUUGUGCACACAACGUGUCCUUCAGCGUAGACUCCUCUAACCAGAUGGAGAGCAGACAAUGAUCAAGCUCAUUUUACAGGCUGCCCUUUCAAAUGCGUCCAAGAUGAAGAAAAGGCCAUUUCGAGCAUUGACCAAUGCUGUGUAUGACCCGAUGUCUAGGAAAGGACCCCUAGGAUGCUCAGCGAAGGCUUUCUACAAAAAAUUAAUCAUGUAACACUAAGGAAUCU
Molecule: long non-coding RNA, 830 nt
Organism: Strongylocentrotus purpuratus (purple sea urchin)
Lineage: Eukaryota; Metazoa; Echinodermata; Echinoidea; Camarodonta; Strongylocentrotidae
Exons: 9
Source: RefSeq, a predicted model, not a curated record